Molecule: long non-coding RNA, 1409 nt
Organism: Elgaria multicarinata webbii
Lineage: Eukaryota; Metazoa; Chordata; Lepidosauria; Squamata; Anguidae
Exons: 2
Source: RefSeq, a predicted model, not a curated record
UACGUCUUUCAGUAUAAAUAAUGCAAGAGACUACAGUUUUGAGUGCCUUACUACUUUAUUAGGUCUUUUGGUAUCAUAGAUUUUUUUUUUUAAACAAAAAAGAUGAUUUUUUUUUAAAAAAAAUAUUUUAAUGAAAUUAUUUGGAGAGGACCUUUUUUCAUUUAAGCAUUAAUGUUACCUUUUGUAUUGGGGUGUGUGAGCUUGUUCUUGUAUAUCUGUGAUAGCCGCUUUUGUGUGUUCUCUGAGCUGGAAACAAGGGGUCAGUGGGGCAAGGAAGCCCUUGGAAACUGCAGCCAAUAACUGGAAAAAGAAUUUGAGAAAUCCCCAACAGAGGAACUAGAGAUAAGGUGUUGAUUUUGUUUUUUGGUCUUUCUUACUAGACUUUUUUUGUAUUUGCCACAUGGAGGAGAGUUGAACCAGUUCCAGGUGUUAACAUGGUUCAUUUAAGGUUUUCAAACUUGGUCCAAGCCAAAACCAGGGAAAAUGAAAUUUUCAACCUCAUUUGCUUUUCCUUUUCUUUUCCUUCCCGCAUUAGCAUUGAUGAUGUUCUAGCUACUGUCAUAUUGUAAAAGCCUCUUUCUGGCCAUUGUGGACUUAGAGUAUACAGAAAGAGUUGCAUAGCGACUUAAAAACCUAUGGAAAUUAUGCACCCACUGUUAUAUAUAUAUGUUUGAUUUGUGCUUCAAUAUAUUAUUGUUAUUAUAAUAUUUUAUAAAUCUUGUCAGUUUGCUAAUCUCUGCGUUCAGCAGAAACCAAUGGGCAAUAUUUGCCCACGGAGAUCUACGACGCAGCUUGCAUUGCCUGCUUAAAUGUUUCUGAUCUAAUCUCUCACCAGCUCUCCCUGUUGGGUUUUGCAGCUCUUCUAUUGUAUUACAUAGAACCCUCUUCCUCUAACUACGUUAUCAAAUGGAGACCGACUAAAGCCCUCAUCACACAACUAAAAUCCAGGUAGAUUGAACAUGUGUUGGGUUGUGUGUGUGUGUGUGUGUGUGCAGGGAGAGUGGGAUUUCAACAGCAAACCUCACUGUUUUCCUACACGCAAUACGAACUAUACAUAUGAAGACUCUGUAUGCAUGAUCAGGGAUUCUGCAAAAGCCACGGUCCCUGAUUGCAAGUGCAUGCAGGUGGGGCGUAUGUACAGUUCGUUCACACAACCAAACUGAACAUAGGGUGAGGCAAGGGCAUUCUGCGAUCCUGUUCCUCCCCUCCCCCCGAAUGCAUGUUCGGUUUCUCCAGAUUGGUUCCAUCAAUGUAGCCUCAGCAGUUAUUGCAAAUGCACAGGGGGUCAUCUCAGAGGUGGCAUGAAGAGGAAUGCGAGGGGGAGAAGGUCCUCCCAAUUGGACGUAGAAGGCACGGCAAAUACUAUGAAGUCAAUUUUGUUUGAAACUUGCAAUAAAUGCAUUGUUUUU